UACGUAGGGGGCUAGCGUUGUCCGGAAUCAUUGGGCGUAAAGCGCGUGUAGGCGGCCCCGGUAAGUCCGCUGUGAAAGUCGGGGGCUCAACCCUCGGAUGCCGGUGGAUACUGUCGGGCUCGAGUACGGAAGAGGCGAGUGGAAUUCCUGGUGUAGCGGUGGAAUGCGCAGAUAUCAGGAGGAACACCAAUAGCGAAGGCAGCUCGCUGGGACGUUACUGACACUGAGGCGCGAAAGCGUGGGGAGCGAACAGG
Molecule: ribosomal RNA, 254 nt
Filed under: uncultured bacterium
Lineage: Bacteria
Description: partial 16S ribosomal RNA
Rfam family: Bacterial small subunit ribosomal RNA
Source: RNAcentral